Molecule: ribosomal RNA, 505 nt
Filed under: uncultured bacterium
Lineage: Bacteria
Description: bacterial SSU rRNA
Rfam family: Bacterial small subunit ribosomal RNA
Source: RNAcentral
CAGCACGGGUAGCAAUAUCUGGUGGCGACCGGCGCACGGGUGCGUAACGCGUAUGCAAUCUACCUUUAACUGGUGAAUAGCCCGAAGAAAUUCGGAUUAACACACCAUAAUAUAUUAGAGUGGCAUCACUUUAAUAUUAAAACUCCGGUGGUUGAAGAUGAGCAUGCGUGACAUUAGCUAGUUGGUGAGGUAACGGCUCACCAAGGCUACGAUGUCUAGGGGAUCUGAGAGGAUUAACCCCCACACUGGUACUGAGACACGGACCAGACUCCUACGGGAGGCAGCAGUAAGGAAUAUUGGACAAUGGUGGAAACACUGAUCCAGCCAUGCCGCGUGAAGGAUGACGGCCCUAUGGGUUGUAAACUUCUUUUGUACGGGAAAAAACCUCUUUACGUGUAAAGAGCUGAUUGUACUGUAAGAAUAAGGAUCGGCUAACUCCGUGCCAGCAGCCGCGGUAAUACGGAGGAUCCAAGCGUUAUCCGGAUUCAUUGGGUUUAAAGGGUGC